UAAGCGACUAAGCGUACACGGUGGAUGCCCUGGCAGUCAGAGGCGAUGAAGGACGUGCUAAUCUGCGAUAAGCGUCGGUAAGGUGAUAUGAACCGUUAUAACCGGCGAUUUCCGAAUGGGGAAACCCAGUGUGAUUCGUCACACUAUCAUUAACUGAAUCCAUAGGUUAAUGAGGCGAACCGGGGGAACUGAAACAUCUAAGUACCCCGAGGAAAAGAAAUCAACCGAGAUUCCCCCUGUAGCGGCGAGCGAACGGGGAGCAGCCCAGAGCCUGAAUCAGUGUGUGUGUUAGUGGAAGCGUCUGGAAAGGCGCGCGAUACAGGGUGACAGCCCCGUACACAAAAAUGCACAUGCUGUGAGCUCGAUGAGUAGGGCGGGACACGUGGUAUCCUGUCUGAAUAUGGGGGGACCAUCCUCCAAGGCUAAAUACUCCUGACUGACCGAUAGUGAACCAGUACCGUGAGGGAAAGGCGAAAAGAACCCCGGCGAGGGGAGUGAAAAAGAACCUGAAACCGUGUACGUACAAGCAGUGGGAGCACAGAGCAAUCUGUGUGACUGCGUACCUUUUGUAUAAUGGGUCAGCGACUUAUAUUCUGUAGCAAGGUUAACCGAAUAGGGGAGCCGAAGGGAAACCGAGUCUUAACUGGGCGUUAAGUUGCAGGGUAUAGACCCGAAACCCGGUGAUCUAGCCAUGGGCAGGUUGAAGGUUGGGUAACACUAACUGGAGGACCGAACCGACUAAUGUUGAAAAAUUAGCGGAUGACUUGUGGCUGGGGGUGAAAGGCCAAUCAAACCGGGAGAUAGCUGGUUCUCCCCGAAAGCUAUUUAGGUAGCGCCUCGUGAAUUCAUCUCCGGGGGUAGAGCACUGUUUCGGCAAGGGGGUCAUCCCGACUUACCAACCCGAUGCAAACUGCGAAUACCGGAGAAUGUUAUCACGGGAGACACACGGCGGGUGCUAACGUCCGUCGUGAAGAGGGAAACAACCCAGACCGCCAGCUAAGGUCCCAAAAGUCAUGGUUAAGUGGGAAACGAUGUGGGAAGGCCCAGACAGCCAGGAUGUUGGCUUAGAAGCAGCCAUCAUUUAAAGAAAGCGUAAUAGCUCACUGGUCGAGUCGGCCUGCGCGGAAGAUGUAACGGGGCUAAACCAUGCACCGAAGCUGCGGCAGCGACGCUUAUGCGUUGUUGGGUAGGGGAGCGUUCUGUAAGCCUGCGAAGGUGUGCUGUGAGGCAUGCUGGAGGUAUCAGAAGUGCGAAUGCUGACAUAAGUAACGAUAAAGCGGGUGAAAAGCCCGCUCGCCGGAAGACCAAGGGUUCCUGUCCAACGUUAAUCGGGGCAGGGUGAGUCGACCCCUAAGGCGAGGCCGAAAGGCGUAGUCGAUGGGAAACAGGUUAAUAUUCCUGUACUUGGUGUUACUGCGAAGGGGGGACGGAGAAGGCUAUGUUGGCCGGGCGACGGUUGUCCCGGUUUAAGCGUGUAGGCUGGUUUUCCAGGCAAAUCCGGAAAAUCAAGGCUGAGGCGUGAUGACGAGGCACUACGGUGCUGAAGCAACAAAUGCCCUGCUUCCAGGAAAAGCCUCUAAGCAUCAGGUAACAUCAAAUCGUACCCCAAACCGACACAGGUGGUCAGGUAGAGAAUACCAAGGCGCUUGAGAGAACUCGGGUGAAGGAACUAGGCAAAAUGGUGCCGUAACUUCGGGAGAAGGCACGCUGAUAUGUAGGUGAAGUCCCUCGCGGAUGGAGCUGAAAUCAGUCGAAGAUACCAGCUGGCUGCAACUGUUUAUUAAAAACACAGCACUGUGCAAACACGAAAGUGGACGUAUACGGUGUGACGCCUGCCCGGUGCCGGAAGGUUAAUUGAUGGGGUCAGCGCAAGCGAAGCUCUUGAUCGAAGCCCCGGUAAACGGCGGCCGUAACUAUAACGGUCCUAAGGUAGCGAAAUUCCUUGUCGGGUAAGUUCCGACCUGCACGAAUGGCGUAAUGAUGGCCAGGCUGUCUCCACCCGAGACUCAGUGAAAUUGAACUCGCUGUGAAGAUGCAGUGUACCCGCGGCAAGACGGAAAGACCCCGUGAACCUUUACUAUAGCUUGACACUGAACAUUGAGCCUUGAUGUGUAGGAUAGGUGGGAGGCUUUGAAGUGUGGACGCCAGUCUGCAUGGAGCCGGCCUUGAAAUACCACCCUUUAAUGUUUGAUGUUCUAACGUUGACCCGUAAUCCGGGUUGCGGACAGUGUCUGGUGGGUAGUUUGACUGGGGCGGUCUCCUCCUAAAGAGUAACGGAGGAGCACGAAGGUUGGCUAAUCCUGGUCGGACAUCAGGAGGUUAGUGCAAUGGCAUAAGCCAGCUUGACUGCGAGCGUGACGGCGCGAGCAGGUGCGAAAGCAGGUCAUAGUGAUCCGGUGGUUCUGAAUGGAAGGGCCAUCGCUCAACGGAUAAAAGGUACUCCGGGGAUAACAGGCUGAUACCGCCCAAGAGUUCAUAUCGACGGCGGUGUUUGGCACCUCGAUGUCGGCUCAUCACAUCCUGGGGCUGAAGUAGGUCCCAAGGGUAUGGCUGUUCGCCAUUUAAAGUGGUACGCGAGCUGGGUUUAGAACGUCGUGAGACAGUUCGGUCCCUAUCUGCCGUGGGCGCUGGAGAACUGAGGGGGGCUGCUCCUAGUACGAGAGGACCGGAGUGGACGCAUCACUGGUGUUCGGGUUGUCAUGCCAAUGGCACUGCCCGGUAGCUAAAUGCGGAAGAGAUAAGUGCUGAAAGCAUCUAAGCACGAAACUUGCCCCGAGAUGAGUUCUCCCUGACUCCUUGAGAGUCCUGAAGGAACGUUGAAGACGACGACGUUGAUAGGCCGGGUGUGUAAGCGCAGCGAUGCGUUGAGCUAACCGGUACUAAUGAACCGUGAGGCUUAACCU
Molecule: ribosomal RNA, 2903 nt
Filed under: Escherichia coli DEC11D
Lineage: Bacteria; Pseudomonadati; Pseudomonadota; Gammaproteobacteria; Enterobacterales; Enterobacteriaceae
Description: bacterial LSU rRNA
Rfam family: Bacterial large subunit ribosomal RNA
Source: RNAcentral